RNAcentral lists this ribosomal RNA (301 nucleotides) under uncultured bacterium. RNAcentral's name for it is "partial 16S ribosomal RNA". It matches the Rfam family "Bacterial small subunit ribosomal RNA", at positions 509 to 807 of the family's 1533-position model. The record is from RNAcentral.
CAGUCGCCACGGUAAUACGAAGGGUGCAAGCGUUAAUCGGAAUUACUGGGCGUAAAGCGUGCGUAGGCGGUGAGUUAAGUCUGCUGUGAAAUCCCCGGGCUCAACCUGGGAAUGGCAGUGGAUACUGGCUCGCUAGAGUGUGUCAGAGGAUGGUGGAAUUCCCGGUGUAGCGGUGAAAUGCGUAGAGAUCGGGAGGAACAUCAGUGGCGAAGGCGGCCAUCUGGGACAACACUGACACUGAGGCACGAAAGCGUGGGGAGCAAACAGGAUUAGAUACCCCUGUAGUCCCUGUCUCUUAUAC